GGCUUAAACACUAUUACCGGGCUAUUGUAUUGUAGACACAAACUCCACUGUCUUCUCUCUUCCCCACCGUCCGGCGAUUGAAUCCCCAGCACAGUUACACUAUCCAUGAAUUACCAGCGCUAGUCGAAGGAUAGCGCUUCCAUUGAAUUCCAACUAAGCUGAAGGUAUUUUCUUGUCUGCUCCAUCUCAGUUCUCGCUUCUUUCAUGUAGAAAAUUUCUGCAAAUUUAUCAACAAAAUUACGAACACUUUUGUUGCAAAUUACAAGCAUUAUGUACUGUAAUAUAUCAAAGAAUCAAGCUUUACCCAUGGCAUUCAGGGUUUCUUCACAACCCAAUCCACUUCACACCUCAAAGAUUCAGUCUUUCUCAAAUGGUGUUUAUCCAAAACCCUCCUUAAACCCUAAAUGUACUGUUUUUGCUGCCCCUCUUCGUGGGUACUCUCUUAGAGCUCAUAAAACGAUUCAAUUUCUCAAACCCACAAAAAAUUUGUUGACUUUUGGUAGAAUUUGUGUUGAAUUUGGAUUGCCUAAGUCUGAAUGUAGAGGAAUUAGAAGUUUAAGUAAUGCUGCUGAGGAUAGUGGAGUGGUUAGAGACAGGAACACUCUGCCUUGGUUAGCUGGUAGUAGAAGGGGGGAGUCGAUGAGGGCGGAGAGGCCGGCGAAAGUUGUGAAGGCGAAAGUUGCUAGUAAAUCAUCUUGGGAGGUUUCAGCAGAGAAGUUACUUCAGAAAAGCGGCAGCUCCUCGACUCAGGAUGAGAGGAGGAGGAGCAGGCCGGUUGAAGAGACAGAAAACUGGCAGAAGCCGCGUUUUGAAAGGAAUGAUAAUAGCUCCUCAACUCAGGAUGAAAGGAGGAGGAGUAGGCCGAUCGAAGAGACAGAAAAAUGGCAGAAGCCGCGUUUUGAAAGGAAUGCUAAUAGUUCCUUAACUCAGGAUGAAAGGAGGAGGAGGAGCAGGCCGGUCGAAGAGACAGAAAACUGGCAGAAGCCGCGUUGGGAAAGGAAUGACAAUGUUGACGAAGAUGGUGGUAAUCAUGUGGUUGAUGAUUCUAGAUGGAACAAUAUUAAUACUAGAGCUGGUAGAGCGGUGAAUGCUAGAGUGGGUUUUGAGAGGCCGGAGGUGCGAAUGUGGAAUAAGCAAGAAAGUUGGGGUAAAAAGACAUAUAAAGAGGCUAGUGAGUCAAGCUUGCCAAAGAUGGUUGGGGAAGGGGUUUAUGGGGUUGGACCAGUUUUGGCUGCUUUAACUGCUGGGAGAAGAGAAUUCUAUACACUCUAUGUUCAAGAAGGAGUAGAGCUGAGUAAGAACAAUAAGAAAAAGAAGGAUAAGAAGGGUUUUGAAAAGGUGUUGAAGAUAGCAGAGAAGACUGGUUUGAGUUUAAGAGAGAUCUCUAAGCAUGAUCUGAACAUGAUCAGUGAUAACCGUCCACAUCAAGGUCUUGUGUUAGAUUCUUCUCCACUAGAGAUGGUAAACAUAAAGGAGUUGGAUCCUGUUUCUGAUGAACAAGACAAGGGUCUUCUUUGGGUAGCUUUAGAUGAGGUCACUGAUCCUCAGAAUUUGGGAGCCAUCAUCAGAUCUUCAUAUUUCUUUGGAGCAUCAGGGGUGGUAUUGUGUAGGAAGAAUUCAGCUCCAUUGAGUGGUGUUGUGAGCAAAGCUAGUGCUGGUUCUCUUGAGCUGAUGGAGAUUAGAUCUUGUAAGAACAUGAUGCAGUUUUUAACAUCGUCUUCUGAAAAUGGUUGGCGGGUUCUUGGAGGGUCAGUUGCUUCUAGAGCUGUUCCCUUGCGUGAGAUUUCACCCGGAGAACCCACUAUUCUUGUUUUGGGGAGUGAAGGAACAGGUUUGAGGCCUCUGGUUGAGAGGUCAUGCACUCAACUGGUGAAAAUUCCUGGUAAUAUUCCCGUGGAUAUAUCAUCGACAGGAGUUGAGGAUGAUGUCGAAGCUGACAUAGAGAAUAAGUUGUCUGGUGAAGAGUUUCAGUCCUUUAUGGCUGUGGAAAGUCUGAACGUCAGUGUUGCAGCUGGUGUUCUUUUGCAUCAUUUGAUUGGAGACAACUGCAGUAACCAUCAAGUUGUCAUGGAUACAGAUACUUUUGAUCAAACUGAUUAGCGUCUGAAUUCUUGACUUAAAUUGUGUCAUAAGUUCUGAUUGAGGUGGCAGAUGCACAGCCCAGUUACUGAUGAAGAAUGGCAGUGUAGUUGACAAGCUAGUUGGAGCGAAUCCGGAUGAGAUAAGGAAAAGGGUCGGAAGUUUUAUUCAGACCACCGGUGGCGGUGCAUAUAUGCCCUAGUCGUCUUUUUGUGUGUUUCGUGUUGUACAUUUUGCUCAUUUCUUUACACUCCGCAGCACUGCAGCAGUGUGCUGUCUAACAGCUCGAUAUAUGUUAAAAACAAAUACAUGAAUGUAUGGCCAUAUGUGUAUGUAAGAUUAAUUUGUUAAUUAAUAAUUACUACGAGUACACGUGCUUAUGUUUGCCAAGGUAGAAUCUACGGAUCAAUGGGAAUUUCUUGUCAACAAAGCCCAACAACAGAAUUCCCCUAUUGUGGUUCACUUUGGAGCUUCAUGGUGCAUUCCAUCAGUUGUAAUGAAUUCAUUGUUUGAAGAAUUGGCCUCAGAUUACUCUAUGUUAUGUUUAUCAAUGUUGAUGUUGAUGAUGUCAAGGUAGUAUCUUUACCUUUGAAAAAUAUCCGGUUUUUGUUGAUUUGUGUGGAUUGAUUUGUAUAAAAUGAAAUUGUGAAAGUUGAUAGUAUAAUUUACCAUAUGGCAUAUUGGAUGA
Spinacia oleracea (spinach) is the source of this 2767-nucleotide RNA transcript. RefSeq lists it as uncharacterized. The transcript has 3 exons. The record is from RefSeq and is a predicted model, not a curated record. NCBI's taxonomy places the organism in Eukaryota, Viridiplantae, Streptophyta, Magnoliopsida, Caryophyllales, Amaranthaceae.